This 345-nucleotide long non-coding RNA is filed under the name Homo sapiens (human). Its description in RNAcentral is "HSALNT0254092". The record is from RNAcentral. Lineage: Eukaryota; Metazoa; Chordata; Mammalia; Primates; Hominidae.
CCUUCAUGAAGGGCCUGGCUUGCUGGGCUAAGGUCACAGUGUUCUGAGGUCCCCACACGCACUCAGACUAGACCCUCCGUACACACCCAGGCUAGACCCUCCAUACACACCCAGGCUAGACCCUCCAUACUCACCCAGGCUAGACCCUCCAUACACACCCAGGCUAGACCCUCCAUACUCACCCAGGCUAGACCCUCCAUACUCACCCAGGCUAGACCCUCCGUACUCACCCAGGCUAGACCCUCCGUACUCACCCAGGCUAGACCCUCCGUACACACCCAGGCUAGACCCUCCGUACACACCCAGACUAGAGGCUUGGGGCUGAGAAAAGCAGUCAUGCCUCUU